This 326-nucleotide ribosomal RNA is filed under the name uncultured eukaryote. Its description in RNAcentral is "partial 18S ribosomal RNA". It matches the Rfam family "Eukaryotic small subunit ribosomal RNA", at positions 1470 to 1796 of the family's 1831-position model. The record is from RNAcentral.
CCCUUAGAUGUUCUGGGCCGCACGCGCGCUACACUGAUGCAUUCAACAAGCCUAGCCUUGACCGAGAGGUCCGGGUAAUCUUUGAAACUGUAUCGUGAUGGGGCUAGAUUAUUGCAAUUAUUAAUCUUCAACGAGGAAUGCCUAGUAAGCGUGAUUCAUCAAAUCGCGUUGAUUACGUCCCUGCCCUUUGUACACACCGCCCGUCGCUCCUACCGAUUGAAUGUGUUGGUGAGGAGCUCGGAUUGGCAGCAGUUGGUGGUUCGCCACCGGCUAUUGCUGAGAAGUCCUCCAAACCGCCCCAUUUAGAGGAAGGAGAAGUCGUANCA